GUCCCGGCUGCGGCCCCUGCGGGUUACAUAACCGGUUGCGGGCUCCGCGUGGCCCCACUUCCGGCUCCCUGCGACCCCAGGAUGCGCUGAGCCCCACUGCACCGUCCACCGUCCGCCGCCCGCUCCCGCCCGGAGUGUGAAUGACAGAGGUGGUGCCAUCCAGCGCCCUCAGCGAGGUCAGCCUGCGCCUCCUCUACCACGAUGACAUAGACACUGUGAAGCAUCUGUGUGGCGACUGGUUCCCCAUCGAGUACCCAGACUCAUGGUAUCGUGACAUCACCUCCAACAAGAAGUUCUUUUCCCUUGCUGCAACCUACAGGGGUAUCAUUGUAGGAAUGAUAGUAGCUGAAAUAAAAAGUAGGACCAAGAUACACAAGGAGGAUGGAGAUAUUCUAGCCUCCAACUUCUCUGUUGACACACAAGUUGCAUACAUUCUAAGUCUCGGAGUAGUGAAGGAAAUCAGAAAGCACGGCAUAGGUUCUCUUUUACUUGAGACUUUAAAGGAUCACAUAUCCACCACUGCCCAGGACCACUUCAAAGCCAUCUACCUGCAUGUCCUCACCACCAACAACACAGCAAUAAACUUCUACGAAAACAGAGACUUCAAGCAGCACCACUAUCUCCCCUAUUACUAUUCCAUCCAUGGGGUCCUCAAAGAUGGCUUCACUUUUAUCUUCUACAUCAAUGGUGGCCACCCUUCUUGGACCAUUUUGGACUACAUCCAGCACCUGGGUUCUGCUCUGGCAAACUUGAACCCCUGCUCCAUCCCACACAGGAUUUACCACCAGGCCCACAGCCUGCUCUGAAGCUUCCUGCCAUGGUCGAGCAUCUCCACCAAAGGCGGCAUUGAAUACAGCCGGACCAUGUGAUGCCAGCCGGGCAGCCUCCAACAGGUCCCACCCCUUGGCGCCCUCUGGAUCUCACCUUCCUGGCCAUUUGACCUCAACUGUGUUCUGCAGAGGAGCUGGCCCAUCACCUGCCCCAGCUGCAGGCCCGGUGCUACAUGGGCUUGGUAGCAGAGCGUCGUGGGGCGGGUAUGCCUGGUCUCCAACAGGCUCUUCAGCCCUCCUUCCUGCUCUGGAAACCUCUGCCCUUGCCCUGGUCUGGCCCCCAUGUGAGUGCACCAGCCUCAUAGGCUGGCCACAGUGUUCAUUGUGGUCAGUUGCUUCUGCUGCCCUGGGAGUAUGGGGGCAGGAGAGGGCUUCCUUUCCUGCACGUCCUCACUGGCCUCUUCCCCCGCACUGCCCGUUCCUUCCAACUCCUUCCUCCAAAGCCGGAAUUAACUCCUGGGAGGGAGGAACCCAAGUGUUAUGGAUAGACUUGGCCCUAAAGACACAGGAGCCUCAGAACAAUGAAGGGGUAAAAUAAAGGGAAUGCCAAACCCUUGUAAAGAACCAGCCUCAGAAGCCUGGGGGGCAGGAACAGCUCCUACCUCCCCAGGAGGGGCUGGCAAGUGGUGGGAGGUUUUUCACCCAAACACAGAGCUCUGGGGCUUAGUUCCCUGGCAUGGUCGUCAGAUAAUGGGAAGGUUUCCCACCCCUCUGUUGGCAGUCCUGCUGUCUCAGAGAGCGAGGAACUACCCAUCACAUGCUGGAUGUGCCAUUCAGUUGAACUGCCCCAGGGAGCCGGGCUGAGGACAGGUGCUGGUGAGGGUCCCAAGGGCCCUCCCCUCCAGCCCCCCAGUUCUGUGAGAUGCAGUUCUGAGGCCUGACCAUAUGCAAACAAGAAGAAUUGAGUGUGGUGUUUGAUCAAGUAGGACCUGGCCUUUGAGGCUGGGGGCAGUCGCUUGCCUUGUGGUCCUCAGCCUCUGGGAACAGACAGAAGAGGCUGUGUCAGUGCCAGGAAGCAUGCAUGUGGACAUCACUUGCUUCUGGCGUUCCCUCCACCCCACCCCCCAAAGCUGCUUGCUCCCUGCCCUGCCCUCCAGAGUAAAGGGGGUUGGCAGAGUCAUGCCCAGCAUUGCUGCAGUGUCCUGGAGCCAUCGCCACAGUGCACAGUCUGAGAGGGAGGAGAAGGUGGAACAACCAAGCAAGAGGGCCUCGGAUUGGCAUCCUUCCCUCCCUCGGAACUCCCAGCCCAGGGGCUCCUCUGGCCUUGCGGUGGGGGAAGGGGUUUCUCGAGAUGAAGGCGAGCCUGCGCAGGAAAACCACCUCUCCUUCCUCGGCCACUUCACACUCUCACUGACUGGUCCCCACUCCGUGCUGACAUUGACUUUGAGCUGAGGCCCAGCUCAGUGUCCUCUCUAAUCUGAAUCAACGGUUAUCAUGUGGUUUUUAUUUCUGCCCCACGGGGUAAGGGAAGAGUCUUCCAGAAGGUUCUGCCUUGGACUUGCAUAAUUGAGCCGAGGCCUUGCCCUGCCCCUUCCUCCUUGCCCCUAAUCACGGCAGUGUCUAGCCCAGUGUUGAACAGAUUGUAGUGUUCUGUCUGAUUACAAACAAAUAAAUAGACUUUAAUUGGUCAAAAAAAAAAAAA
Molecule: RNA transcript, 2472 nt
Organism: Myotis brandtii (Brandt's bat)
Lineage: Eukaryota; Metazoa; Chordata; Mammalia; Chiroptera; Vespertilionidae
Gene name: N-alpha-acetyltransferase 60 pseudogene
Exons: 1
Source: RefSeq, a predicted model, not a curated record